This 482-nucleotide ribosomal RNA is filed under the name uncultured Methanocorpusculum sp. Its description in RNAcentral is "bacterial SSU rRNA". It matches the Rfam family "Archaeal small subunit ribosomal RNA", at positions 18 to 508 of the family's 1478-position model. Lineage: Archaea; Methanobacteriati; Methanobacteriota; Methanomicrobia; Methanomicrobiales; Methanocorpusculaceae. The record is from RNAcentral.
CAGAGGCCAUUGCUAUCAGGGUUUGACUAAGCCAUGCGAGUCGAGAGGUGUAAGACCUCGGCAUACUGCUCAGUAACACGUGGUUAACCUGCCCUAAGGUGGAGAAUACUCCCGGGAAACUGGGGCUAAUGCUCCAUAGUGGAUAUGUCCUGGAAUGGUAUAUCCUCGAAAAAUCCGUCGCCUUAGGAUGGGACUGCGUCCGAUUAGGUUGUUGGCGGGGUAACGGCCCACCAAGCCUUUUAUCGGUACGGGUUGUGGGAGCAAGAUCCCGGAGAUGGAUUCUGAGACAUGAAUCCAGGCCCUACGGGGCGCAGCAGGCGCGCAAACUUUACAAUGCGAGCAAUCGUGAUAAGGAAACCCUGAGUGCCUGUCGAUGCAGGCUGUUCAUAUAUCUAAAUCAUAUGUGAAGAAAGGGCAGGGCAAGACCGGUGCCAGCCGCCGCGGUAAUACCGGCUGCUCGAGUGAUGGCCACUAUUACUGGG